GGGGGUGCGGUCUUGGUUGAGAACAUAGGCUAUCCUCUUGAAAUUCAAGAUGAUCUUAAGAUUCCAUAGCCAAUCCUUAAAGUUUGGUUCGGUCAAUCAGUUGGUCUCUAGGAUCUUGGCAAGAGGGUUUGAAGUAGUCAUUUCUUACAGAGAGAUGAAGGUUCUAGUUAGAUUUUGUAAUUGACUUAAUUAGUUUAUUUUAAAAAUUUUAUUAUCAAAAUAAAUUUGGGAUCCCACUAUUUUCUUGGAUCCUUUACACUUCCUGGGUAGAGAAACAAAAACUUUCAUGAUUAAGGAUUUUUAGUAGGUGCUACGGUCUCACCGAUUGACUCACCACCUCAUCUAACAGUUAUUGAUGAUGGGUCAGUUGAUAGUUGGAUAACUCUUGUCUAAUAUUUCUCCAAAUAUGUUGCAGCCAAUCUCGAUCUCUAAUUCAUGAAACUUCAUCGUGUCCAGAAUAUUAGCCCACUCAUUGGUUAUGUCAAACCCAUCGUUUACACAAAAUGGAGUCAUUAUUGGGUCCCUCACCAUGUCCAAACUAUUGAGUCCAACCCC
Molecule: long non-coding RNA, 555 nt
Filed under: Elaeis guineensis (African oil palm)
Lineage: Eukaryota; Viridiplantae; Streptophyta; Magnoliopsida; Arecales; Arecaceae
Description: long non-coding RNA (EGUI_LNC025809)
Source: RNAcentral